AAGGGUCUUCUAUUUUCAAAGCUUUGCUGUAAGACCUUUUGACUAAGGUAUCUCCAGUAGCUCUGAGCUAAGAAUGCCAAGAUGCAGGAUGAAUGAAUAAGAAUACAACUUGAUGCAGAAAUAUGAGGAGUGUUUCACAGAAAACAUGGCACCCUAUCAAUCAUCCAGUAUACUCAUCUCUUCCAGAAAACCUCAUUCAUUCAUAUCUUAAUAAAUAAUCCUAAAAUCAGCAUUAUAUAUCCUAAAUCAGCACAUGUUAAGAUGAAACUAUGCGCAAUUACCCCAUACUUAAGCUGUAGGUCUGUAGGUCACCUUUUUCCUUUAUAACUUGAUAUACAUCUAUAAUCAGAGGGAGGUCAAGCAGAUCUGUACAGAUUAGAACUUGCCUGAACACAGCCUCAGGUAUUAUACCACUUGUACAACAGCUAUAUGACUUUCCAUGUGUAAUUAACUAUAGUGUUAGUGCUUAAAAUUAGAGCUGUACUCAUAUAUCCUUCAUAAACUCACAAAGCUGUAUGUGUAAAUGGCUGACAGGUACAAUUGCCAUGACACCGGCAGGUGGUUCUCUUUCUGAACCUGGUACAAUCCUGGUCUUCAAGUGACUGGUAAUUAACCAAACAAGUCUCCCAGAUGAAAGGUGAAAUCCUAGCUGUACUGCAGCAAUGCCAAACUCACAUCAGGAUGGCCAGGAUUUCAUUUGGAAAACCGCAUUUACGUUCUUGAAAGAGAACAUAUUGAAUUUCCUUCUUUAAAAAGAUCAUUUGCAGCACAAAAUUUAUGUACCAGGUACUACCCCAUCCAGUAACCUUCCUGUGGUUACUUCCACUAAAUAUUUUUCAGACAAAAGCAAAAAGGUUUGAAAACAAACCUUUGUUUGUGAUGACUGUGCAACUAAAACAAGAAUCAACAGAACACAGGGAAAUCAAGGUAGGGAAAUGUUGGAAGAAAACCAGACAAAUAAUUGAGGUACCUGACUUUUCAGAUGUGGUCUGUGCCACUGAAAGCCAGCCCAGAUUUCUUAUUAAAUCAGUCAGAUAGAUAGAGGAUAUUGUUUCUCCCUGUGAACCUCAGAAAGCUCAUAACUUUAAACCAUCAAGGCUGCUACUAAAGACCCAUAAUCCAAAUACAUUAACCUAUUACUCAAAGGUUGACUUAGGGAAGAGAGUAAAAUCAAAGAAAGAAAACAUAAAACUUGUCACAUAAAACCUACAGCCUUCAUCAGAUGUAUUUUACAAGGGUCCAUUCACUGAGUGAUUAAAUUGUUUGGAACAUUUGUGUUAAAAGUAAACUACAGAUUGUCAAACUCUCUUAAAUUUUCAGUAAAUAUACAGCAUGAUGUUUGUAGAUGGGCAUUUGAGUUACAGACCAUAGAACAUGUUUUUAUCUAACUGUUACAUGCUAGCUUCCCCUCCCCCCAACAAGAAGUCAUGGGCAAUUUGUCACAAAAAAUUUUUUCUUGCCACAUGAUGCAUACCUGACUAUGUCUAUUGUUAAAUUUUGGUGGUGUGUAAAUGGACUUACAAAUAAAAUGAAUAUGAAAUGUGA
Pezoporus occidentalis (night parrot) is the source of this 1545-nucleotide long non-coding RNA. RefSeq lists it as uncharacterized. NCBI's taxonomy places the organism in Eukaryota, Metazoa, Chordata, Aves, Psittaciformes, Psittacidae. The record is from RefSeq and is a predicted model, not a curated record. The transcript has 2 exons.